Molecule: ribosomal RNA, 373 nt
Filed under: uncultured prokaryote
Description: bacterial SSU rRNA
Rfam family: Bacterial small subunit ribosomal RNA
Source: RNAcentral
UACAGAGGGUGCGAGCGUUAAUCGGAAUCACUGGGCUUAAAGGGUCCGUAGGUUGGACUGCAGGCGUCGAGUGAAAUACCACGGCUCAACCGUGGAACUGCUCGGCGAACCGCAGUUCUUGAGGCGAGUAGAGGCGAUCAGAACGAUAGGUGGAGCGGUGAAAUGCGUAGAUAUCUAUCGGAAUGCCAAAGGUGAAGACAGGUCGCUGGGCUCUGACUGACACUGAGGAGCGAAAGCGUGGUGAGCAAGCGGGAUUAGAUACCCCGGUGGUCCACGCCGUAAACAAUGCGCACUGGGUCGGGGAGGUUUGACGCCCUCCUGGCCGAAGCAAAAGUGUUAAGUGCGCCGCCUGGGGAGUACGGUCGCAAGGCUA